UGGGGAAUCUUGCGCAAUGGGCGAAAGCCUGACGCAGCAACGCCGCGUGGGGGAUGAAGGCUCUCGGGUUGUAAACCCCUUUCAGCAGGGACGAACCAAGACGGUACCUGCAGAAGAAGCCCCGGCUAACUACGUGCCAGCAGCCGCGGUAACACGUAGGGGGCAAGCGUUGUCCGGAUUUAUUGGGCGUAAAGAGCUCGUAGGUGGCUGAGUAAGUCGGAUGUUAAAUCCCCAGGCUCAACCUGGGACACCACCCGAUACUGCUCUGGCUAGAGUCCGGUAGGGGAGCGUGGAAUUCCUGGUGUAGCGGUGAAAUGCGCAGAUAUCAGGAGGAACACCAGCGGCGAAGGCGGCGCUCUGGGCCGGUACUGACACUGAGGAGCGAAAGCGUGGGUAGCAAACAGG
This 405-nucleotide ribosomal RNA is filed under the name uncultured bacterium. Its description in RNAcentral is "bacterial SSU rRNA". It matches the Rfam family "Bacterial small subunit ribosomal RNA", at positions 355 to 776 of the family's 1533-position model. The record is from RNAcentral.